AUUCUUACCUGACAGACAGAGGAGAUACUGUUAUCACAAAGGUGCUUUUUCCCAGGGCAAAGUUUAUCUAUCAUAUUGUGGAUCUGCUGAUCCCUGCUAAUUCCACAUGUGGAAAACUUGAAUACAUAAUUUGUGCUAGUGGGCUAAAACAGAAACAACUUC
Ictidomys tridecemlineatus (thirteen-lined ground squirrel) is the source of this 162-nucleotide small nuclear RNA. Its record names the gene U1. It matches the Rfam family "U1 spliceosomal RNA". From Rfam's summary of the family: U1 is a small nuclear RNA (snRNA) component of the spliceosome (involved in pre-mRNA splicing). Its 5' end forms complementary base pairs with the 5' splice junction, thus defining the 5' donor site of an intron. The record is from Ensembl. NCBI's taxonomy places the organism in Eukaryota, Metazoa, Chordata, Mammalia, Rodentia, Sciuridae.